Molecule: non-coding RNA, 76 nt
Organism: Myotis brandtii (Brandt's bat)
Lineage: Eukaryota; Metazoa; Chordata; Mammalia; Chiroptera; Vespertilionidae
Source: Rfam
GGUGGUUCUCAGGUGACACACCCCGGAAUCAGGCUCCCUCCUCUCUGGUUCUGGGUUGUGUCAACCGAGAACCACU